This 484-nucleotide ribosomal RNA is filed under the name uncultured bacterium. RNAcentral's name for it is "partial 16S ribosomal RNA". It matches the Rfam family "Bacterial small subunit ribosomal RNA", at positions 28 to 507 of the family's 1533-position model. The record is from RNAcentral.
AUUGAACGCUGGCGGCAUGCUUUACACAUGCAAGUCGAACGGCAGCGCGGGCUUCGGCCUGGCGGCGAGUGGCGAACGGGUGAGUAAUGCAUCGGAACGUGCCCAGUAGUGGGGGAUAGCCCGGCGAAAGCCGGAUUAAUACCGCAUACGACCUGAGGGUGAAAGCGGGGGACCGAAAGGCCUCGCGCUAUUGGAGCGGCCGAUGUCGGAUUAGCUAGUUGGUGGGGUAAAGGCUUACCAAGGCGACGAUCCGUAGCUGGUCUGAGAGGACGACCAGCCACACUGGGACUGGGACGCGGCCCAGACUCCUACGGGAGGCAGCAGUGGGGAAUUUUGGACAAUGGGGGCAACCCUGAUCCAGCCAUGCCGCGUGCGGGAAGAAGGCCUUCGGGUUGUAAACCGCUUUUGUUCGGGAAGAAAUCCUCUGGGCUAAUACCCCGGGGGGAUGACGGUACCGGAAGAAUAAGCACCGGCUAACUACGUG